GCUUGGAAGCAGCCAUUCAUUUAAAGAGUGCGUAACAGCUCACUAGUCGAGGAGUCGGGCGUGGAUAAUAAUCGGGUAUCAAGUUGUCUACCGAAGCAGUGGGAUCAUUAAUAUGAUCGGUAGGGGAGCAUUCCAGUCAGCGUCGAAGGCGUACCGUGAGGUAUUCUGGAGCGUCUGGAAAAGCAAAUGUAGGUAUAAGUAACGAUAAAGGGGGCGGGAAACCCCCUCGCCGAAAGACUAAGGUUUCCUGAUCAACGCUAAUCGGAUCAGGGUCAGUCGGGUCCUAAGGCUCAGCCGAACGGCGAUGCCGAUGGCAGAAACGGUUAAUAUUCCGUUACUACCUUCAGGAGUGACGUGGAGACGCAGUAGUGACAGUGCCGCCAUCUGACGGAAUAGAUGGUUGAAGGGUGUAGGAGUCGAUCAUGGCAGGCAAAUCCACCAUGAGAUCCGAACCUGACAGUAUGCCGCGUCCUUCGGGACAAGGCAAUAGUGCGCGUAAGCAUGCUGCCGAGAAAAUCCGCUAAACUUAAUCCUGCAGGUACCCGUACCGCAAACGGACACACGUAGUCGGGAUGAAUAUUCUAAGGCGCUUGAGUGAUUCACGGUUAAGGAACUAGGCAAACUGACCCUGUAACUUCGGGAUAAAGGGUCCCUACCCUUUUAUGGGAGGGCGCAGAGAAUCGGUCCAGGCAACUGUUUAACAAAAACACAGGGCUGUGCCAAAUCGAAAGAUCCAGUAUACAGCCUGACACCUGCCCGGUGCUGGAAGGUUAAGAGGAGAUGUCAUCGAUAAGAGAAGCGUUGAAUUGAAGCCCCAGUAAACGGCGGCCGUAACUAUAACGGUCCUAAGGUAGCGAAAUUCCUUGUCGGGUAAGUUCCGACCUGCACGAAUGGUGUAAUGAUCUGGACGCUGUCUCAACCGUGAGCUCAGUGAAAUUGUAGUAUCGGUGAAGAUGCCGAUUACCCGCGAUGGGACGAAAAGACCCCGUGAACCUUUACUAUAGCUUAUCAUUGAAUCUGGGCACGUGAUGUGUAGGAUAGGUCGGAGGCUUUGAAGCAGGUACGCCAGUAUUUGUGGAGCCGCUGUUGAAAUACGACCCUUUAUUUGUUUGGAUUCUAACCCGUGGAUACGGGGACAUUGAUUGGUGGGUAGUUUGACUGGGGUGGUCGCCUCCAAAAGCGUAACGGAGGCUUCUAAAGGUGCCCUCCGGCCGAUUGGUAACCGGCCUUAGAGUGUAAUGGCAUAAGGGCGCUUGACUGGGAGACUAACAAGUCGAUCAGGUAGGAAACUAGAGCAUAGUGAUCCGGUGUUUCCGUAUGGAA
Molecule: ribosomal RNA, 1323 nt
Filed under: human gut metagenome
Description: bacterial LSU rRNA
Rfam family: Bacterial large subunit ribosomal RNA
Source: RNAcentral